GUAGUCCACGCCGUAAACGAUGGGCACUAGGUGCCUGGGGGAGCGACCCCCUGGGUGCCGGCGCUAACGCAUUAAGUGCCCCGCCUGGGGAGUACGGCCGCAAGGCUGAAACUCAAAGGAAUUGACGGGGGCCCGCACAAGCGGUGGAGCAUGUGGUUUAAUUCGACGCAACGCGAAGAACCUUACCUAGGCUUGACAUGCACGGGAAAGCCGUGAGAAACCACGGCCCCUCUUCGGAGUCCGUGCACAGGUGCUGCAUGGCUGUCGUCAGCUCGUGUCGUGAGAUGUUGGGUUAAGUCCCGCAACGAGCGCAACCCCCGCUUCCAGUUGCUAACAGGUUACGCUGAGGACUCUGGGAGGACUGCCGGUGCCAAACCGGA
This 380-nucleotide ribosomal RNA is filed under the name uncultured bacterium. RNAcentral's name for it is "bacterial SSU rRNA". It matches the Rfam family "Bacterial small subunit ribosomal RNA", at positions 790 to 1167 of the family's 1533-position model. The record is from RNAcentral.